CGUGUGGUGUCCAGCGCAGAGUUGGAUAGCGACACGGCCCAAUUGAGGU
Vibrio sp. is the source of this 49-nucleotide non-coding RNA. The record is from Rfam. NCBI's taxonomy places the organism in Bacteria, Pseudomonadati, Pseudomonadota, Gammaproteobacteria, Vibrionales, Vibrionaceae.